UGAGGAAUAUUGCACAAUGGAGGAAACUCUGAUGCAGCCAUGCCGCGUGCAGGAUGAAUGCCCUAUGGGUUGUAAACUGCUUUUCUGCAAGAAGAAACCUUAGUACGUGUACUAAGCUGACGGUACUGCAGGAAUAAGCACCGGCUAACUCCGUGCCAGCAGCCGCGGUAAUACGGAGGGUGCAAGCGUUAUCCGGAUUUAUUGGGUUUAAAGGGUCCGCAGGCGGAACUUUAAGUCAGUGGUGAAAGCCUACAGCUUAACUGUAGAAUUGCCAUUGAAACUGAAGUUCUUGAGUGUGGUUGAAGUGGGCGGAAUAUGUCAUGUAGCGGUGAAAUGCAUAGAUAUGACAUGGAACACCUAUUGCGAAAGCAGCUCACUAAACCAUUACUGACGCUCAUGGACGAAAGUGUGGGUAGCGAACAGG
Molecule: ribosomal RNA, 424 nt
Filed under: uncultured bacterium
Lineage: Bacteria
Description: bacterial SSU rRNA
Rfam family: Bacterial small subunit ribosomal RNA
Source: RNAcentral